CAACAGGUUUGGUCCUAGCCUUUUUGUUAGUUUGUAGUUAACUUACACAUGCAAGAAUCCCCGAACCGGUGAAAAUGCCCUCCAACUCACACCUCAGUGAUUAAGAGGAGCGGGUAUUAAGCACACGCUAUGUAGCUCAAAAUACCUUGCUUAACCACACCCCCAAGGGACACAGCAGUGAUAAAUAUUAAGCAAUGAACGAAAGUUUGACUAAGUUAAACUACACCAGAGUUGGUAAAUUUCGUGCCAGCCACCGCGGUCAUACGAAAAACCCAAAUUAACAAACCCCGGCGUAAAGCGUGUUUUAAGGUUUCCCCCCCCCCCCAUAAAGUUAAAUGUUAUCUAUGCCGUAAAAAGCUAUAGCUAUAACAAGCCCUACAACGAAAGUGACUUUAAUCCCCUUGAAUACACGAAAGCUAGGUCCCAAACUGGGAUUAGAUACCCCACUAUGCCUAGCCGUAAACCUAGAUAGUUACAUAACUAAACUAUUCGCCAGAGAACUACAAGCAACAGCUUAAAACUCAAAGGACUUGGCGGUGCUUUAUACCCCCUAGAGGAGCCUGUUCUAUAAUCGAUAAACCCCGCUUCACCUCACCACCCUUUGCCAACUCAGCCUGUAUACCGCCAUCUUCAGCAAACCCUAAAAAGGUACAACAGUAAGCUCAAUAAUCCCCAUAAAAACGUUAGGUCAAGGUGUAGCCUAUAGGGUGGAAAGCAAUGGGCUACAUUUUCUUCUUAAAGAACACCACGAAAGCCUUUAUGAAAACUAAAGGUCGAAGGCGGAUUUAGCAGUAAAUUAAGAAUAGAGAGCUUAAUUGAACACGGCAAUGAAGCACGCACACACCGCCCGUCACCCUCCUCAAUUACUUGAAAAUCCUGUGCCCAUAGAUAAACACAACACACCUACAAGUACUAGAGGAGAUAAGUCGUAACAAGGUAAGUAUACUGGAAAGUGUGCUUGGAAAAUC
This 968-nucleotide non-coding RNA is filed under the name Ochotona dauurica (Daurian Pika). RNAcentral describes it as "12S ribosomal RNA". It matches the Rfam family "Bacterial small subunit ribosomal RNA". The record is from RNAcentral. Lineage: Eukaryota; Metazoa; Chordata; Mammalia; Lagomorpha; Ochotonidae.